Long non-coding RNA from Phyllostomus discolor (pale spear-nosed bat), 4483 nucleotides. RefSeq lists it as uncharacterized. The transcript has 3 exons. The record is from RefSeq and is a predicted model, not a curated record. Lineage: Eukaryota; Metazoa; Chordata; Mammalia; Chiroptera; Phyllostomidae.
CCCCAGACAGCAGUAUCUGCACCACACUUCUGGUUUAGGAAGCCUUCCAAGUCUUCGGUUGGGUCUGCAGGUGUCCAGAGAGCCUGUGAUACCCAACUACUGUCCCCGGCCACUCGUGGGCCAAACGGCUGUAGAAAACUGGAAGAGCAAUUAAACAGCAAAGUAGUAAAAAACAGGAUAGGUCUUAUAACCCAGCACUGCCACUUAUUUCUAGAUGAUCUUGAGAGAAAACAGGGACAAUGACCAUGAUUUGUCAUGAAGAUUCACUGAGAACAUAUGUGUAAAACAGCACAAUAAAUGGUCCAAAGUAGGUACUCAGUAAUUAGAAAGUGACAUUACCACAGCUGCUCUUUCAUCUGUCUCCUUUUUAUUAAAGUUUUAUUUUACUACAAUGGAGUUCAGUACUAAUCAUUCUCUAUUAACAUGCAUGGAUUUUUGUUCUCUCCUUCUAAUUUAUCACCUCAAGGAUGUUUAAUAUGAUGUUUCUCCUAUGUUCUUCAGAGCUUAUCAUAUGGUAUUAAACAACUAGCAGAUACUUUACUUAUUGAAUCAACAGAUAACAAUUAAAGACUUGUCAUGCACAAGGCCUCAUCCUAGGCACAGGGAAUACUCUGAUCUCUACCCCUGAGAUACAACCCAUGCUCAUAAGAGCUAGUAUGAUUUCUUGACUUGCUCAUUGGAAUAAGCAGAAACACAUAUGUUAUAUAUAGCAUUGCACACAGGCAUGGAAAUUAUCUUUCCACAGAUUCACAGUAACUUGUUCCCCUACUCCACUCCUGCCAGAAAAAUAUCAGAAAAUAAGUCACCUUACUUAUUAAAACUACCAAUUUUAACUGUACAGACUACAGAGUCUCAUGUUUAUCUCCCUCAACCAAUGGGGUCUAUCUAAAAAUGAAAAGCACCUAUACAGACCCAGUAGCUUAUGAAAGAGCCAAUCAGGUUUUUACCUACAGUAUUCUACUGCAAAAUUGCUGAUUCAAGCACAAAAGGAAUUCACAAAAACAAAAACAUAAUUACAUACGAGGCUACAAAAUAUUUCCACAUAUUCACAGAUUGAGCUUUCUCUCCAAUCACAAAAUCUCCUUUUCUCUUGUAAAAUUCCUUCCAGUUAGAAAAAAGUGUGAGCUUAAAAAAAAAUAAUUCUUGAGGAAAUUAGCUGUACUGUAAGUAGGGAAGACAGGGAUUAUAUGGCACUAAAAUAAGGGAUCUGUCAAUAAAGAAAAAGCACAGUUUUCUGCAUUUGUUCAGCACCACACUCUGUCUCCCUCCUGCCCCACCUCAUCUCCCCCACACCCCAGGUUCCGCCCCGCGAACUGACUCUGGCUUCCACUGCUCUAGGAAGGACCAAUACAAGAUGUUUCAGAUGAACAAGCACAUAUUUCUGUACAAGAUGACUAUCUAGUUUGCUAUUUCUGGCAAAGAACAGAGAAUGUCCAAGGUUGUCAGUACAACUUUUAUCUCCUAUGAUUUAACCGGUCCUUCAGCAAGCACAGAAUACCACUUCAAAAGAAGGAAAGAAUUUUUUUCCCAUGAUUAAACAAAGAAAGUCAGGAAAGAUUUUCCGGGGUGGCAGUAAUACCGAUAGACUUUCAGCCAAGAGUUAAGUUGGUAAAAAAGUUUGAGAGAGGGCAAUUAGAACAUUUUUUUAAGUUAUUACUUUGGCAUUAAGUAAAGCCCAAUAAGACAACUGUAGGCAAAGAAAACUGUUUCAACAAAGGUAAUAUAGCAUAGAAAAAAAACAGAUUCAUUUGAAAUACAGUGCUGGAGGAGAGCUCCGGACGGCCAGACAGAGAAACCAGGGGGCCCUAGAGCAACUGAAUCCUGAAACAGGGCUGUAGACAAAAUGACAAGGCUGAAAUGGUCCUGCUUUGGGCGCUUCAUGAGAAAACAGGGUUCUCUGGAAAAGUCAGCAAUGCUGGACAAAAAGAGAAGGCAGCAGGAAAAAAGACCAAAUCUGAGAUAGAAUGACUUUAUUAAAGGAGCCAUGGCCUGGAGCCCUGGCUGGUGUGGCUGAGUGGAUGGAGCGCCAGCCUGCAAACGGAAAGGUCGCUGGUUUGAUUCCAGUCAGAUCACAUGGCUGGGUUCUGAGCUCUGAAAAAAAGAAGCCAUAGACAUGUGCCUAUAGGCUCUGAGCAGGGCUAUUGAGAACAGGUCACUGUGGACAUCGGCCAACACAAUGGCACAUAACCGCAAUGCAGUACAGAGCUAAAACAUAAGGAACAGUGUCUCUGAGAUAACUUCAGUCAUCUGACGUACUGAAAUGGGCUGGGCAAAGAGCACACAGUGCACUCAAACAUGCUGGCUUUACGAGGAGUGGCUCACAGAAAGGCAAUAUUUCUAGAUCUUCAAUUAUUAGCCAUCUAAUAACGAAUAAUAAUAAACAGUCCAAAUGAUUUCGUUUCAACAAACAUUUCCUGAAUAUUUCUGUCAUGUACAAAAUUUUGCAAGUGUUCUCGGAUAGAGGCAUACAUAAAUCCAAGUCCAAAAUGAGUUUUAAGGAACUCAGACCAUAACUUAUUUUCAAAAAUUUGUGCAGUCAGUGUUGAAGAACUAGAUUCAGCCACAGGAACUUACUAUGUUUUAAUGCUCGAAAGUAAUUGAAAAAUGGUAAUUUCAUAUGGUUCAGCCUGAUAUAUAGUACCAGACUUCAAAAACUAAUGAAAUAACUGUGAUACAGAAGUCUAGACAAAAUGUCUCCAAGGGUACAGAAAUUAAAAUGCAAAAAAAAGAAUUCAUUUGCUCUGACUUGGGAAAGCAGGACAGCUUCUUGGAGCAGAUGGCAUAUGAACUAGGAAUGAGGUUUUGCGAGUUGGAAUAGUUAGAAAAGGGAGUAUAGUGGAGAGGAAGUGGCAGAUGGGAAUUUUAGGGGGAAAGCAAGAACAUAAGCACAGGAUCAUAAAGUGUAACAGAAUAAUUCAAAUGACAAAAUCAUCUAUUUUCAUGUCAUAGAACAAGCAUGUGAAGUUCAUUAAUAAAAAUUGACUUAAAGUCAAUUCACUUGGUGAAGUUGAUAUUCUGUCUCAUAAGCCAAUAAAAACCUAGGAUAAUAAAACAAAUAUAAAGGUUUUCUGAUAAACAAUAAAAGGAAAAUGAAAUAAGAGUCAAGUCCACCACUCCCUAUAAAAAAAGCUACAUUCUCCAGUUCGCAGAAGCCUCAAAAUAAUAUAAUACCCUAAAAGCUCCUCACUGCACUACAGACGCAUCAAAACCAUGCGUUAGAUGAUCCUGUUCUGUUCAGUGGCCACCGUCCUUAUGGAUGCCUCCGCCUCCGCCCCAAUAAGGAGGUUUUAGAAGGGCCUCCUUGGAUUUAAAGGUCAAGUGCUUCUCACCACUCCACUUACAAAUCACUACAAGUAACCAUUAUAAAUUUACCACAGUACUGGCAAAAAAAAUUAACAAUCACUAGAACUUACUGAUUGUUGUGUAGGAAUAAAGGCUUCGGCAUGGUUAUGAGGACAGUAAUGAAUUUUAAUCUACUGCUCCAUUAUACAUAUUAUUCUUAACCAUAAUAACAGUGUUCCACUUAAGCUUCAAGACAGUAUUUAAAUAGGAGGUUUAGGAAACAAUAAAGCCUAAAAAAAUACUGUACAUGUAUUCCAAAUUUAGAGUGAGUAGGAAAUGUCAGGGGAAUUUUAUCACUUCAUCAAACAAUCAAAUACUCUGAGCCAACAACACACAGAGUCCAAGAAAACAGGAGACGGGAAUUUUUUUCCUCCUUAUUGGAGAGUCAGCGAGCUAAUAAAUAUAUUAAUCAAAGAACACAUAAAAGACUUUUAAUUAUUUUUUUGGCAGGAAGCUUUCUUUUAAGAAAAAUGUUAAAUGUUGCGCUAGUUAUAAUGUAUAAACACUGAACCCAAGGGGUACACAUCGCCAGUUAAAGCAGCAAGAUAAAGGGCAAAUGAAGUUAGGGGACCAAGUGAAGGAGGAAUCAGACAGGCAUGAGGAGAAAAACACAAGACACCUCAGAAGAAAGAAACACGAAGAGAAAAGCACCCACAAGCAAACCUGUAUGAACACAGAACAGCUGCCUAAUGGUUCAAACUCUCCAAACAUUUUUAUGAAGACUAAUAGAUGUCUAUCAUGUCUUCAUUUGUAAGUGCAAAAAUGGGGAUAGCUCAUCAUUUGCCUCAAGGGACACGGGAAAUUACGUUAGAGACCGAACAUAAAACCCACAGUCGGCAGGUUCUUUCCCAAGUAAAGUCCACAGCAACAGUAGAGCCUCAUACAAGAAGGAUAUAAUUAGUAUUUUUAGAAUGAGAUAUCCUGUUAAAAGAAAACAUCAAAAUGUUAUAAAGUAAUUGUUGUUCAUAUACUUGAGCAUGAUACAAAGCUUGUUGACAGAAGUUCUAGGGGUUGACCUUAAUUGUGCCAUGUAACCACAAAUGUCAUCAAUCAUGUCUCCAUUAGAUAUUUUUAGGUUUAGAGAAUUAGAUGGUGCUCUUGUUGACAAGAUCCUUCUACAACUUGAUCGUCAGACUGUAGA